UCCGUAGGUGAACCUGCGGAAGGAUCAUUACAGAGUUCUUGCCCUUCGGGGUAGAUCUCCCACCCUUGCGUAUUAUAAUCAAUUGUUGCCUUGGCGGGCUGUAGCUCGCUACCCAGGUUUCGGCCUGGUUGCCCGCCAAAGGACCCUUAAACUCUGAAUAUUAGUGUCGUCUGAGUACUAUAUAAUAGUUAAAACUUUCAACAACGGAUCUCUUGGUUCUGGCAUCGAUGAAGAACGCAGCGAAAUGCGAUAAGUAAUGUGAAUUGCAGAAUUCAGUGAAUCAUCGAAUCUUUGAACGCACAUUGCGCCCCUUGGUAUUCCGAGGGGCAUGCCUGUUCGAGCGUCAUUAUGACCAAUCUAGCUUGGCUAGGUAUUGGGCUUCGCCGGUUGGCGGGCCUUAAAAUCAGUGGCGGUGCUCUCAGGCUCUACGCGUAAUAACUUUUCUCGCUAUAGAGUCCUGAGGGAUGCUGGCCAGCAACCUCAAUUUUCUUAGGUUGACCUCGGAUCAGGUAGGGAUACCCGCUGAACUUAAGCAUAUCAAUAAGCGGAGGA
RNAcentral lists this ribosomal RNA (552 nucleotides) under uncultured fungus. RNAcentral's name for it is "eukaryotic LSU rRNA". The stretch from base 193 to 346 matches the Rfam family "5.8S ribosomal RNA". The record is from RNAcentral. Lineage: Eukaryota; Fungi.